Molecule: non-coding RNA, 975 nt
Organism: Oryctolagus cuniculus (rabbit)
Lineage: Eukaryota; Metazoa; Chordata; Mammalia; Lagomorpha; Leporidae
Source: RefSeq, a predicted model, not a curated record
GCUCACCUUUUAAAGCCACAUUACCAGCACCUUGAGGGCUUCUCCGUCCCAGUGGGCUAAUCACUGCCAUCCUGAGGCACUGCCACUGUGCUCUGCACGCCUGGAGGAAGGGGCACUGGGGGCAGCAGAAAUCUGACCAUCAGUGGAUGAAGCUUCUCAUCCACCGCCUGCACUAGGAACAGCCCUGAGGUCUCGCUGAGUGACUCCUCAGCACAUACUUCCUAAGCACUGCCUUGUGCCUGCCACUGUUCUAGGGUUGGGAUGUAGAAAUCAAAAGGACCAAGUUCUUACCCCAAGGAGCUCACAUUCAAGGGACCCUUGGGUCCUUAUGUUCUCUAGAGGUCAUGGUCACAGGCCCUGAAACGUGGAUGUGGACCUGACGGAUUCGAUCUUUGAGACACAGGCCUGUGCGCCCGUCCUGCCUGCUUUGGCCUACCUGCUUCCAUGUCGGCCUCUGACAUAGCAGCCGCGGUCUCCCCAGGCACUGCUGGGGUCCCCGAGGACUGCUGUUCCCGGUGAGUGCACCGAGCACUUCCUGGGUCAGGCUGCAGGUGCACAGUGGACUGUCAGGUCUGGCUCCAAGUCAGUCCCAAGCCUGUUUCCUGAUCCAUGCCCAGGCUUCCUGUCUCUGCUGGAACUCGCGUCAACUUAAGCCCACACCAGGCGGUACAUGAUUUCAAAGCUUGUCUCCUUCUUGAAGAUUCUGCAAAAAGCCACAAGGAGUAGCCAGGCGUGGUCCUCAGGUCCCCUAAAGCUCCAGUCUCGAGAGGCACACGGACAGAAGUGCAGGACACAAGGGGACCUGGGUAGCCAGGGACGUGGAAGGACAGAGGAGUCUCUUGUCUUACCUGAUUCAGUGGAGGGAGUGUGUUCCUCCCAGCCUCUCGCUCCAAGCUCCUCGUCACGGUUCUUUGAUGGUCAGCCAUGGAACCCAACAUUGGUUAAUUAAAGUAAAAAUGGAAUUCAUUCAAAGUA